RNAcentral lists this ribosomal RNA (2923 nucleotides) under activated sludge metagenome. Its description in RNAcentral is "bacterial LSU rRNA". It matches the Rfam family "Bacterial large subunit ribosomal RNA". The record is from RNAcentral.
CUAAGGGCUUAUGGUGGAUGCCUUGGUGCCAAGAGGCGAUGAAGGACGUAGUAAGUUGCGAUAAGCCACGGGGAGCCGCAAGCAGGCUUUGAUCCGUGGAUCUCCGAAUGGGAAAACCCACUCCAGGUAACACUGGAGUAUCGCCGGAUGAAUUCAUAGUCCGGCGAGGCAAGACGGGGUGAAGUGAAACAUCUCAGUAACCCCAGGAAAAGAAAACGAAGCGAUUCCGUCAGUAGUGGCGAGCGAAAGCGGAACAGCCUAAACCGGGAGGACUAGUCUUCCCGGGGUUGAGGGACCUUAAUGUGGGAGGUGGCGAGCGAGCUUAACCAUCUGGAAAGUUGGGCCAGAGACCGUGACAGCCGGGUGAGCGAAGUUCAAAGCCCCCUAGAGGUAUCCCAAGUAAUGCGGUGCACGUGAAACUCUGCAUGAAUCCGUCCGGACCACCGGAUAAGGCUAAAUACUCCUUGGCAACCGAUAGUGAACUAGUACCGCGAGGGAAAGGUGAAAAGAACCGCUGCUAGCGGAGUGAAAUAGUACCUGAAACCAUAUGCCUACAAUGUGUAGGAGCCGGCUCCAUUCCGGAGCCCGUUCCGGCCGCAAGGCUGGGGCCUGACUUCGGAAUGGAGCCGGUGACUGCCUGCCUUUUGCAUAAUGAGUCUGCGAGUUAUUGUCCGUGGCCAGCUUAAGCCGUUCUGCGGCGGAGGCGAAGGGAAACCGAGUGCCAAUAGCGCGACCAAGUCGCGGGCAAUAGACCCGAAGCGGAGGUGAUCUACUCUUGAGCAGGUUGAAGCCUGGGUAAUACCAGGUGAAGGACCGAACUCGUGGAUGUUGAAAAAUCCUGAGAUGACUUGAGAGUAGGAGCGAAAGACUAAUCAAACCCCGUGAUAGCUGGUUCUCUCCGAAAUCGCUUGAGGGCGAGUGUUGUGGAAGUACUCCAUGGAGGUAGAGCACUGAAUGGCUUAGGGACCCCACCAGGUUACCAAAACCAAUCAAACUCCGAAUGCCAUGGAUCUCAGUAUCACAGCAGUUAGGCAGUGGGCGAUAAGGUUCAUUGCCGAGAGGAAAACAGUCCAGACCAUCAGCUAAGGUGCCCCAAUGUGAUUAAGUGGAAAGGAUGUGACGUUGCUUAGACAGUGAGGAUGUUGGCUUAGAGGCAGCCAUCAUUUAAACAGUGCGUAACAGCUGACUCAUCGAGCGAUGUCGCGCCGAAAAUGAUUGGCGAUUAAAUCACAUACCGAAGCUAUGGAUUCGCAGGAUUUUCGAAUCCUGCGAGUGGUAGGAGAGCGUAAUUAGCGCGGCGAAGCCGGACGGAAACGGACGGUGGAGCGCUGAUUAGUGAGAAUGCAGACACGAGUAGCGAUAAACCAGGUGAGAAUCCUGGUCGCCGUAAACCCAAGGUUUCCUGGGCCAGGUUCGUCCUCCCAGGGUUAGCCGGGAGCUAACGCGAGGCCGUAAGGCGUAGCGGAUGCACAGCAGGUUAAAUAUUCCUGCGCCGGGUAAGAAUUAGCUAUGCGAUGACGCAACGGAACACAUCGGCUAGGCAAUCGAAUGCUGAGCUUAGGCUUCGGCCGAAGCGCACCGGUGGAGAAGUUGCCGAGAAAAGUUGCAUAGUAUGUCUUAUUCGCCCGUACCGCAAACCGACACAGGUGGGUGAGUGUAAGCGCACUCAGGCGCGCGAGAGAAACCUCUCUAAGGAACUCGGCACAUUAGCCCCGUAACUUCGGGAGAAGGGGUGCCCAAAAAGGUUGCAGCAAUGUAGCCUUGGCGGGCCUCAGUAAAUUGCGUUUGGCGACUGUUUAACAAAAGCACAGCACUCUGCCAAGUCGUGAAGACGACGUAUAGGGUGUGACACGUGACCAAUGCUGAAAGAUUAAGAGAUCUUGUUAGCCGCAAGGCGAAGCUCGGUCUUUAAGUCCCAGUGAAUGUCGGCCGUAACUAUAACGGUCCUAAGGUAGCGAAAUUCCUUGUCGGGUAAGUUCCGACCUGCACGAAUCGUGUAACGACCGAACGACUGUCUCGGAGAGGAUCUCGGCGAAACUGUAACGGCGGUGAAGAUGCCGCCUGCCCGCAGUAGGACGGGAAGACCCUAUGCACCUUUACUGUAAGCUCGUAUUGUGUCUUGAUUAUUCAUGCGUAGCGUAGGUGGGAGACUUCGAAGCGGGGGCCUCGGUUCCCGUGGAGUCGCAAUGUGAAACACCACUCUUGGCUAAUUAGGAUUCUAACCUCACUCUGUCAUCCAGAUGAGGGACCGUGCGUGCGGGUCAGUUUGACUGGGGCGGUUUCCUCCGAAAGAGUAACGGAGGAGCGCUAAGCUUGGCUCAGCAUGGUUGGCAACCAUGCGUCGAGCGUAUGGGUAGAAGCCAGGUUAACUGUGAGACCAACAAGUCGAGCAGGUGCGAAAGCAGGCCCAAAUGAUCCGACGGUUUAAUGUGGAAUUGCCGUCGCUCAACGGACAAAAGGUACGCUAGGGAUAACAGGCUGAUCGAGUCCAAGAGUUCAUAUCGACGACUCGGUUUGGCACCUCGAUGUCGACUCGUCGCAUCCUGGGGCUGAAGAAGGUCCCAAGGGUCCGGCUGUUCGCCGGUUAAAGCGGCACGCGAGUUGGGUUCAGAACGUCGUGAGACAGUUCGGUCCUUAUCCACUGUGGGCGCAGGAAACUUGAGGGGUUCAAAUCUUAGUACGAGAGGACCAGAUUUGACGCACUUCUGGUGUGGCAAUUGUCGCGUCAGCGGCAGCGUUGCGUAGCCAUGUGCGGAAGAGAUAAGCGCUGAAUGCAUCUAAGUGCCAAGCUCAUCCCAAGAUAAUGUUUCCCGAACCGCAAGGUUCCUAAAGACCCCCGGCAGACUACCGGGUUGAUAGGUUAGGCGUGUAAGCGGAGUGAUCCGUUCAGCGGACUAAUACUAAUCGGUCGUGCGGCUUGAUC